AUACGGAGGGUCCGAGCGUUAAUCGGAAUUACUGGGCGUAAAGCGCGCGUAGGUGGUUCAGUCAGUCAGAUGUGAAAGCCCCGGGCUCAACCUGGGAACUGCACCUGAUACUGCUGAGCUAGAGUACGGUAGAGGGCAGUGGAAUUUCCGGUGUAGCGGUGAAAUGCGUAGAGAUCGGAAGGAACACCAGUGGCGAAGGCGACUGCCUGGACUAAUACGGCACCGGAGGUGCGAAAGCGGGGGUAGCAACCAGGAUUAGACCCCCGGGUAGUCCACGCCGUAAACGAUGUCAACUAGCCGUUGGGGGACUUGAGCCUUUAGUGGCGAAGCUAACGCGAUAAGUUGACAGCCUGGGGAGUACGGCCGCAAGGUUAAAACUCAAAUGAAUUGACGGGG
RNAcentral lists this ribosomal RNA (396 nucleotides) under uncultured bacterium. RNAcentral's name for it is "partial 16S ribosomal RNA". It matches the Rfam family "Bacterial small subunit ribosomal RNA", at positions 523 to 918 of the family's 1533-position model. The record is from RNAcentral.